GUGCUCACUUCAGCAGCAUAUAUACUAAAAUUGGAAUGAUACAGAGAAUAUUAGCAUGGACCCUGAGCAAGCAUGAUACCCAAAUUCAUGAAGCAUUCCCCAUUUUU
Cavia aperea (Brazilian guinea pig) is the source of this 107-nucleotide small nuclear RNA. NCBI's taxonomy places the organism in Eukaryota, Metazoa, Chordata, Mammalia, Rodentia, Caviidae. The record is from Ensembl.